AACCAGCACCUCAAGUGGUCAGGAUGAUUAUUGGGCCUAAAGCAUCCGUAGCCGGCUCUGUAAGUUUUCGGUUAAAUCUGUACGCUUAACGUACAGGCUGCCGGGAAUACUGCAGAGCUAGGGAGUGGGAGAGGUAGACGGUACUCGGUAGGAAGGGGUAAAAUCCUUUGAUCUAUUGAUGACCACCUGUGGCGAAGGCGGUCUACCAGAACACGUCCGACGGUGAGGGAUGAAAGCUGGGGGAGCAAACCGGAUUAGAUACCCGGGUAGUCCCAGCUGUAAACUAUGCAAACUCAGUGAUGCAUUGGCUUGUGGCCAAUGCAGUGCUGCAGGGAAGCCGUUAAGUUUGCCGCCUGGGAAGUACGUACGCAAGUAUGAAACUUAAAGGAAUUGGCGGGGGAGCACCACAAGGGGUGAAGCCUGCGGUUCAAUUGGAGUCAACGCCAGAAAUCUUACCCGGAGAGACAGCAGAAUGAAGGUCAAGCUGAAGACUUUACCAGACAAGCUGAGAGGUGGUGCAUGGCCGUCGCCAGCUCGUGCCGUGAGAUGUCCUGUUAAGUCAGGUAACGAGCGAGAUCCCUGCCUCUAGUUGCCACCAUUGCUCUCAGGAGCAGUGGGGCGAAUUAGCGGGACCGCCGCAGUUAAUGCGGAGGAAGGAAGGGGCCACGGCAGGUCAGUAUGCCCCGAAACUCUGGGGCCACACGCGGGCUGCAAUGGUAACGACAAUUGGUUUCAAAUCCGAAAGGAUGAGGUAAUCCACAAACGUUACCACAGUUAUGACUGAGGGCUGCAACUCGCCCUCACGAAUAUGGAAUCCCUAGUAACUGCGUGUCACUAUCGCGCGGUGAAUACGUCCCUGCUCCU
This 864-nucleotide ribosomal RNA is filed under the name uncultured archaeon. Its description in RNAcentral is "SSU rRNA". It matches the Rfam family "Archaeal small subunit ribosomal RNA", at positions 474 to 1337 of the family's 1478-position model. The record is from RNAcentral.